Long non-coding RNA from Oncorhynchus tshawytscha (Chinook salmon), 459 nucleotides. NCBI's taxonomy places the organism in Eukaryota, Metazoa, Chordata, Actinopteri, Salmoniformes, Salmonidae. The record is from Ensembl.
GCGCCGAAUACAACAGGUAUUACAGUGAAAUGCUGACUUACGAGCCCCUAACCGACAAUGCAGUUUUAAAAAAUACAGAUAAGAUUAAGAGAUAAAAGUAACAAGUAAUUAAAGAGGAGCAGUAAAAAAUAACAUUAUAUACAGGCGGUGUGGAGGCUAUAUACAGGGUAUUACGGUACAGAGUCAAUGUGGAGGCUAUAUACAGGGGGUACUGGUACAGAGUCAAUGUGGAGACUAUAUACAGGGUGUUACGGUACAGAGUCAAUGUGGAGGUUAUAUACAGGGGGUACUGGUACAGAGUCAAUGUGGAGACUAUAUACAGGGGGUACCGGUACAGAGUCAAUGUGGAGACUAUAUACAGGGGGUACCGGUACAGAGUCAAUGUGGAGGCUAUAUACAGGGUAUUACGGUACAGAGUCAAUGUGGAGGCUAUAUACAGGGGGUACUGGUACAGAGUCA